RNAcentral lists this ribosomal RNA (2690 nucleotides) under human gut metagenome. RNAcentral's name for it is "bacterial LSU rRNA". It matches the Rfam family "Bacterial large subunit ribosomal RNA", at positions 15 to 2644 of the family's 2925-position model. The record is from RNAcentral.
CGGGCGCACGGCGGAUGCCUUGGCACAGGGAGCCGAUGAAGGACGCGGCAAGCUGCGAUAAUCCCCGGCGAGGAGCACACAUCCUUCGACCCGGGGGUCUCCGAAUGGGCGAACCCAUGCACAGCGGUGUGCAUAUCCCCACCCCGAACACAUAGGGGCGGGGAGGACAACCCGGGGAACUGAAACAUCUAAGUACCCGGAGGAGAGGAAAUCAAUCUCGAGACUCCCCGAGUAGCGGCGAGCGAAAGGGGACCGAUGGCCAAACCGUCGAGCGGGCGUACCCGGCAGGGGUUCCGCCGACGGGGUUGCAGGGCCGCGCAUCCGGGGGCUGCCGCCCCCGGGCGCAGGUCCGGCUGGGGAGCGGAACGGCAUGGGAGGGCCGGCCGCAGCGGGUGAAAGCCCCGUACGCGAACCCAGACCGGACGGCGCGACGCGGUCCCUGAGUAGGGCCGGGCACGUGAAACCCGGUCCGAACCUGGGUGGACCACCAUCCAAGCCUGAGUACUACCCUGUGACCGAUAGCGCACCAGUACCGUGAGGGAAAGGUGAAAAGCACCCCGGGAGGGGAGUGAAACAGUACCUGAAACCGUGCGCCCACGAGCAGUCGGAGCACCUAUACGGUGUGACGGCGUGCCUUUUGUAGAAUGAGCCAGCGAGUCGCUGGCGCGGGGCGAGGUUAACCGAAAGGGAGCCGUAGCGAAAGCGAGCCUUAACAGGGCGACUUGAGUCCCGCGCCGCGGACGCGAAGCCGGGUGAGCUAUCCGUGGGCAGGCUGAAGCGGGGGUAAGACCCCGUGGAGGGCCGAACGCACGUCGGUUGAAAACGGCGGCGAUGACCUGCGGAUAGGGGUGAAAGGCCAAUCAAACCCGGAGAUAUCUCGUUCUCCCCGAAAUAGCUUUAGGGCUAGCGUCGCGCGUUCACCGCCGGAGGUAGAGCACCGGAUGGACGAGGGGGCUUCGCCGCCUACCGAAUCCAACCGAACUCCGAAUGCCGGCGGCCCAGAGCGCGGCAGUCAGAGCAUGUGGGCUAAGCUGUGUGCUCGAGAGGGAAACAGCCCGGACCGCCCGCUAAGGUCCCCAAGUUCCAGCCGAGUGGCAAAGGAUGUGCGUCCGCCCAGACAACCAGGAUGUUGGCUUAGAAGCAGCCAUCCAUUCAAAGAGUGCGUAACAGCUCACUGGUCGAGUGGACAUGCGCCGACAAUACACGGGGCUAAGCUGGACACCGAAGCGGCGGGAUUUUAUCUAUAUAGAAUCGGUAGGGGAGCUUCCCAUGGGCGGCGAAGCCGCCGGGCGACCGGCGGUGGAGCGCAUGGGAGUGAGAAUGCUGGCAUGAGUAGCGAGAGACGAGAGAGUAACUCGUCCGCCGUGAACCCGAGGUUUCCUGGGCAAGGCUAAUCCUCCCAGGGUCAGUCGGGGGCUAAGGCGAGGCCGGUAGGCGUAGCCGACGCGCAGCAGGCAGACAUUCCUGCACCGCGCACGCGGCGCUACGACCGACGGGGCGACGGAUGGGGGUGGCUCGGCGGGGUUCUGGACGUCCCCGUGAUGGAGCGCGGCCCGCGGACCAGGGAAAUCCGGUCCGCACGAGGGCGAGGCUCCGGACGAAGCGAUCAAGCGAAGCGAGUGAGCCCGAGGUCCCUAGAAAAACCCCUAGGCAGGCGCGUGCGCGCCCGUACCGCAAACCGACACAGGUGGGUGGGUAGAACAUACCGAGGCGAUCGGGUCAACCAUGGUCAAGGAACUCGGCACAAUGGCCCCGUAACUUCGGGAGAAGGGGUGCCCGCGCGUACGUGAACCGGCUUGCCCGGGGAGCGGAGGCGGGCCGCAGUGGAGAGGCCCAAGCGACUGUUUACCAAAAACACAGGACUCUGCAGAAGCCGCAAGGCGACGUAUAGGGUCUGACGCCUGCCCGGUGCCGGAAGGUCACGCGGAGGAGUUAGCCGCAAGGCGAAGCCCCGAAGCCAAGCCCCGGUAAACGGCGGCCGUAACAAUAACGGUCCUAAGGUAGCGAAAUUCCUUGUCGGGUAAGUUCCGACCUGCACGAAAGGCGCAACGACUUGGGCGCUGUCUCGACCAUGGACCCGGUGAAAUUGCACUGGUCGUGAAGAUGCGACUUACCCGCGGAAGGACGGAAAGACCCCGUGAACCUUCACUGCAGCUUGGCAUUGGCCGCUGGUCCCGCGUGUAGAGGAUAGGCAGGAGGCACAGAUCCGGAGGCGCCAGCCCCCGGGGAGCCGCCCUUGGAAUACUGCCCUCGCGCGACCGGCGUCCUAACCCGAGGCCGUCAACCGGCUCGGGGACCGUGCCAGGCGGGCAGUUUGACUGGGGCGGUCGCCUCCUAAAGGGUAACGGAGGCGCGCGAAGGUCCGCUCGGGACGGUCGGCAACCGUCCUUUUGAAUGCAAGAGUACAAGCGGGCUUGACUGCGAGGCCCACAAGCCGAGCAGGUGCGAAAGCAGGCUCUAGUGAUCCGGCGGCCCCGAGUGGGUGGGCCGUCGCUCAACGGAUAAAAGGUACUCCGGGGAUAACAGGCUGAUCUUGCCCAAGAGUCCACAUCGACGGCAAGGUUUGGCACCUCGAUGUCGGCUCAUCGCAUCCUGGGGCUGGAGCAGGUCCCAAGGGUACGGCUGUUCGCCGUUUAAAGCGGUACGCGAGCUGGGUUCAGAACGUCGUGAGACAGUUCGGUCCCUAUCCG